UCCAAGAAGAGGUUUUGACUCAUUCAAGU
RNAcentral lists this non-coding RNA (29 nucleotides) under Mus musculus (house mouse). The record is from RNAcentral. Lineage: Eukaryota; Metazoa; Chordata; Mammalia; Rodentia; Muridae.